This 69-nucleotide transfer RNA is filed under the name Sphaerodactylus townsendi. RNAcentral describes it as "tRNA-Gly". It matches the Rfam family "tRNA". Rfam says of the family: Transfer RNA (tRNA) molecules are approximately 80 nucleotides in length. Their secondary structure includes four short double-helical elements and three loops (D, anti-codon, and T loops). The record is from RNAcentral. Lineage: Eukaryota; Metazoa; Chordata; Lepidosauria; Squamata; Sphaerodactylidae.
GCCGUGGCUCAGUAGAAAAGCCUCUGCUUGCCAUGCAGAAGGUCCCAGGUUCAAUCCCUGCCAUCUUCA